AUGGUGGCGAUCUCGAUGUACCGCGGCAACCUCCACCGGGGCGGGGACGACGCCGCGCGCCGCUGGCCGGCGCCCCAGCCCACGCUCUCCGCGUCCCAGUUCCGCCGCCUCCUCCACCGACGGUCCCUCGCCGUCUCCCGCCUCGCCGGGGCCCCCCGGCCCAACUCCCCCAACCCCCGCCCGGACGACGGCGCCGCGGCCCCCGCGGCCGUGGGAGAGGCGCAGGAGGUGGGCGGGGGUCAGCAUCAGGCCGAGCGGCAGGAGGAGGAGGCUCAUGAUGUGCCGAUGCAGCAGCAGCAGCAUCAUCAGCAGGGGGAGGAAGAGGGACAUGAUGAGCCGCAGCAGCAACAGGGGGAGGGAGAUGGGCAAGACGAGCAGCAGCAAGGAGAGGAGGAGGAGGAGCAGGAGGAGGGGGCGGUGGAGGAUGUGGAAAUGGACGAUGCGGGGGAGGUGGUCGCCGGAGAUGUCGAUGCCGGCGGCAAUGGUGACCCCGAAGAAGGGCAAGGUGAAAGCGAAGGCUUCGACCCCAACUCGGAGGUGGGUCAACCUGAUGGAGUUGAAGAAAGGAAGAGAGAGUUGACCGACAAGCUGGAUACCUUGAGUAAGAAAAAGCAUGAUCUUGUGCAGAUGCUGAAGCAGAUUUUGAAUGCCGAAGAAGAAAUCAGAACACGUAGCAUGCAGGCUUCACUGCGUGCUGCCAUGCCUCAGCCGCCAGAAAACACAGCUGAUGGAAGUGUUCCUAGACAGGUGCCCAGAAUGACCGUUGAUGUCAAUUUCAGCGAGUUUGCUGGGGAGUCAGAUGCUGGUUCCAACCAGGGCACUCCUGGACGCCCCUUGCAUCAUGUCCACAGUAUUUCCCCUUCAACAGCCUCUUUUGCUAGGUCUCCAUUCGGUUCUCGCAACCACAACCCUGGCAACACUCCAAGAAGUCCAGCAGCACCUUUCUCUACAGCAAGCCCGUCUCGCUUCGCAGGUACUGGGCAUCAGGGACACCACCCCUCGGCAUCAUUACCAGCAACCAACUUUGUAGCAUCGUCGCCUUCCCCUGCUGCAUCCGGUGGCUCUUCCUCUGUAUUCCGGGACCAUCGCCCGCCCAGUUCAACAUAA
Molecule: ribosomal RNA, 1107 nt
Filed under: Triticum aestivum (bread wheat)
Lineage: Eukaryota; Viridiplantae; Streptophyta; Magnoliopsida; Poales; Poaceae
Description: partial small subunit ribosomal RNA
Source: RNAcentral